Molecule: ribosomal RNA, 458 nt
Filed under: uncultured bacterium
Lineage: Bacteria
Description: partial 16S ribosomal RNA
Rfam family: Bacterial small subunit ribosomal RNA
Source: RNAcentral
CCUACGGGUGGCAGCAGUGGGGAAUAUUGCACAAUGGGCGCAAGCCUGAUGCAGCGACGCCGCGUGCGGGAUGGAGGCCUUAGGGUUGUAAACCGCUUUUGUUCAAGGGCAAGGCACGGUCUUUGGACGUGUUGAGCGGAUUGUUCGAAUAAGCACCGGCUAACGACGUGCCAGCAGCCGCGGUAUUACGUAGGGUGCAAGCGUUAUCCGGAUUUUUUGGGCGUAAAGGGGGCGUAGGCGGGUCGUCGCGGCCGGUGUGAAAGGCCAGGGCUUAACGGUGGGUCCGCGCCGGGUACGGGCGGGCUUGAGUGCGGUAGGGGAGACUGGAAUUCCCGGUGUAACGGUGGAAUGUGUAGAUAUCGGGAAGAACACCGAUGGCGAAGGCAGGUCUCUGGGGCGUAACUGACGCUGAGGAGCGAAAGCGUGGGGAGCGAACAGGAUUAGAUACCCGUGUAGUC